RNAcentral lists this ribosomal RNA (482 nucleotides) under uncultured bacterium. RNAcentral describes it as "partial 16S ribosomal RNA". It matches the Rfam family "Bacterial small subunit ribosomal RNA", at positions 30 to 505 of the family's 1533-position model. The record is from RNAcentral.
AUUGAACGCUGGCGGCAGGCCUAACACAUGCAAGUCGAGCGGAUGAAGGGAGCUUGCUCCUGGAUUCAGCGGCGGACGGGUGAGUAAUGCCUAGGAAUCUGCCUGGUAGUGGGGGAUAACGUCCGGAAACGGGCGCUAAUACCGCAUACGUCCUGAGGGAGAAAGUGGGGGAUCUUCGGACCUCACGCUAUCAGAUGAGCCUAGGUCGGAUUAGCUAGUUGGUGGGGUAAAGGCCUACCAAGGCGACGAUCCGUAACUGGUCUGAGAGGAUGAUCAGUCACACUGGAACGGAGACACGGGCCAGACUCCUACGGGAGGCAGCAGUGGGGAAUAUUGGACAAUGGGCGAAAGCCUGAUCCAGCCAUGCCGCGUGUUGGAAGAAGGUCGUCGGAUUGUAAAGCACUUUAAGUUGGGAGGAAGGGCAGUAAGUUAAUACCUUGCUGUUUUGACGUUACCAACAGAAUAAGCACCGGCUAACUUCG